Long non-coding RNA from Pygocentrus nattereri (red-bellied piranha), 739 nucleotides. RefSeq lists it as uncharacterized. The transcript is spliced from 2 exons. NCBI's taxonomy places the organism in Eukaryota, Metazoa, Chordata, Actinopteri, Characiformes, Serrasalmidae. The record is from RefSeq and is a predicted model, not a curated record.
GAGCAAGCCGGUGAGCAGCAGCAGCAUCAGUGCCCAUGUCAAAGCAAGUGGCCUACGGGACAGAGGAACUUGAACAGGCCAGUCACGCACACAUGGCUGGAGGGAUUUCUCACAUUGUCCACUUGUGAACUGUAGCUGACCGGCUUUCCCUCAACUUCCAUUCAGUGUUUCCGCAAUAUCCUUCAUGAAGCAACUUCAGCGUGAUUGAGUGUUCAUGAAGCUGAAUUACUGAAGAGUGCACAAGGAUUAGACUCUACAUACUGCAGGACAAGAUCGACAGGAUUGACCGGUAUGACACACAGGGCGGGGAGGGAACAGAGUAGAAUAUGCCGGACACCUAGCACCGGGAGUGUGCCCUGGAAGCUUAUUUGUAUCCUGCUUAAUGGUGCAUUUAUUUCAGGAGAAUGAAAAGCAGGAAGGGGAAUGCUACAGCCUUAACAGUCGGACACAUCUGUUUCAAAAGAAAAGUUUUAUUGUACCUGUAAAUGAGACUUUAAAAACAAGAGUAGCUGGGAAAUGUGCUCCUGAUGAAUAAAUAAUACUAAAGAUGAAGACAAUGUCUAGUAUGAAUAAACUACGAACUUCAGCAGCAAGAAUAAAUGUAAAGUAAGGAGAGGAGGGGAUACAGCCCAGUUUUACAAGGCAUGGUGGCUUCGUAGUGACUGCAAUGACAUUAUAAAUAUGUGCGUUUAAAGUAAAAAUAGCUUAUGUUGUGAAGUCUUUAAAAAAAAAAAAAAAA